Molecule: unclassified non-coding RNA, 184 nt
Filed under: uncultured Agaricales
Lineage: Eukaryota; Fungi; Basidiomycota; Agaricomycetes; Agaricales
Description: sequence contains ITS1
Source: RNAcentral
UUGAAUUUGGGGACUUAUGGUUGGAUGCUGUUAUGCUGGCCCUCAGGGCAAUGUGCACGCAAUCUAGCCAUAUGUUUCUUUUAUUCCACUGUGCACUGCUGUAGACACACACAAAUGUGUCUAUGAAUAUAUAUCAUACACUUUAUAUUUUGUAUGUUGGGAUGUUUAAUGUAUAAAAAAAUUA